Molecule: RNA transcript, 1682 nt
Organism: Neltuma alba
Lineage: Eukaryota; Viridiplantae; Streptophyta; Magnoliopsida; Fabales; Fabaceae
Gene name: COBW domain-containing protein 1
Exons: 10
Source: RefSeq, a predicted model, not a curated record
AUUAACGCUAAUUUGGAAAUUGACGAAAAUUCUUAUAACGAGGAACCUGCAGCACUAGAACCAAAAUGAUCGGGUCGAGGAUGGAGGACGAUGAAGAAGAAGGGCCACCUCUAGCCGUUCAGAUUCAACAAGAUGAAUCGACGUCUCAGUAUUUCGACCCAGACUCGAAAGCUUCAGUUGGAGUUACCGUCAUCACUGGCUAUCUCGGAGCUGGCAAGUCUACUCUGGUUAAUUAUAUUUUGAAUUCUCAACACGGGAAGAGGAUCGCGGUCAUCUUGAAUGAGUUUGGUGAGGAAAUUGGGGUGGAAAGGGCUAUGAUAAAUGAAGGGGAUGGCGGUGCACUUGUUGAAGAAUGGGUUGAGCUUGCUAAUGGGUGUAUAUGUUGCUCUGUCAAGCAUAGUUUGGUUCAAGCAUUAGAGCAACUUGUACAGAGAAAGGAAAGACUCGAUCAUAUAUUGCUAGAGACUACAGGAUUGGCAAACCCAGCACCGUUGGCAUCUGUCCUAUGGUUGGAUGAACAGUUGGAAUCAGCAGUAAAGCUUGAUUCUAUCAUCACUGUGGUGGAUGCCAAAAACCUUCGUUUCCAGCUUGCUGAGCAUCGUGGUUCAUCAUCGUCGUUUCCUGAAGCAUACUUUCAGAUAGCAUUUGCGGAUAUUAUAAUUCUUAACAAGGUUGAUUUGGUCUCUCCAGAGGGUUCUGGAAGCAUUUUGGAUGGGCUUGAGGAGGAAAUUCAUAACAUUAACUCCCUUGCUGAGAUAAUUCAUUCUGUCCGCUGUCAAGUUGAUUUGUCAAAGAUAUUGAACCGCCAAGCUUAUGAUUCUGCACAUGCUUCACAUUUAGAGCAAUUAUUAGAAGAAAGCCGUUCCUUGUCCUCCAAGAAGCUUCAUGAUAGUGGUGUGAGAACUAUAUGCAUUUGUGAGUCACAGAAAGUUGAUCUUGAAAAGGCUCGGACAUGGCUUGAGGAGAUUCUCUGGGAGAAGAAAUAUGAUAUGGAUGUAUAUCGCUGCAAAGGAGUUCUGAGCGUAGAAAAUUCUGAUCAACUGCAUACUUUGCAGGGGGUGAGAGAAUUAUAUGAUAUUGUACCAACUCGCCUGUGGGGAAAAGAAGAAAAUCAGAUAAAUAAGAUAGUCUUUAUAGGUCAUAAUCUGAGAGAAGAUGUUCUCAUUGACUCCUUCAGAGCCUGUACAACCUGCUGAAGACUUUUUGGUAUAGAAGGGAACCUUAUGUAUUACUCUGCUCACUUCGAAAAACUAGAAAAGUCAAUUUUUGGGUAAGAAUAUAAAUCUGUCUUUUAUUUUUCUUUUACCAAAAGAAAGUUCUGGAUUUGGUUUUGAUGAAAUGAAGGAUUCCACUGUAAGUUGCUUUGCGAUUGGCUGGAUCAAGACCAUGGAAGAUUAUUUCUAGCGUUGUGGCAGAAAAAAUCCCAAAUUUGCUCUUUCACCAUACCAACAUCAAAUUCUUAGUUUCUGUAUUUUAAGCUUCACCUCAGUCACUGACUCUGGGUAGCCGAUUAUGAAGUUCAGAUUUGGACACUGUGUUUUCAUUCUCGUGCCGCUUGUUAGAAAGCUUUGAUGCCAAAUGCUGGUUUUGUAACAUAAUAAUGACUUGCUCUCUUGAAUGAUUCUUUGUGCAAUAACAGAUUGAAGGGCCAAAAAGAGAGCCAUAAUUAUCGUCGUAAGGAA